GAUGAACGCUGGCGGCGUGCCUAAUACAUGCAAGUCGAGCGAACAGAUGAGGAGCUUGCUCCCCUGACGUUAGCGGCGGACGGGUGAGUAACACGUGGAUAACCUACCUAUAAGACUGGGAUAACUUCGGGAAACCGGAGCUAAUACCGGAUAAUAUAUUGAACCGCAUGGUUCAAUAGUGAAAGACGGUUUUGCUGUCACUUAUAGAUGGAUCCGCGCCGCAUUAGCUAGUUGGUAAGGUAACGGCUUACCAAGGCAACGAUGCGUAGCCGACCUGAGAGGGUGAUCGGCCACACUGGAACUGAGACACGGUCCAGACUCCUACGGGAGGCAGCAGUAGGGAAUCUUCCGCAAAGGGCGAAAGCCUGACGGAGCAACGCCGCGUGAGUGAUGAAGGUCUUCGGAUCGUAAAACUCUGUUAUUAGGAAAGAACAAAUGUGUAAGUAACUAUGCACGUCUUGACGGUACCUAAUCAGAAAGCCACGGCUAACUACGUG
RNAcentral lists this ribosomal RNA (497 nucleotides) under uncultured bacterium. RNAcentral describes it as "partial 16S ribosomal RNA". It matches the Rfam family "Bacterial small subunit ribosomal RNA", at positions 28 to 507 of the family's 1533-position model. The record is from RNAcentral.